RNAcentral lists this ribosomal RNA (229 nucleotides) under uncultured bacterium. RNAcentral's name for it is "partial 16S ribosomal RNA". It matches the Rfam family "Bacterial small subunit ribosomal RNA", at positions 118 to 347 of the family's 1533-position model. The record is from RNAcentral.
UGGGUGAUCUGCCCUGCACUUUGGGAUAAGCCUGGGAAACUGGGUCUAAUACCGAAUAUGACUAUGCACCUCCUGGUGUGUAGUGGAAAGCUUUUGCGGUGUGGGAUGGGCCCGCGGCCUAUCAGCUUGUUGGUGGGUAAUGGCCUACCAAGGCGACGACGGGUAGCCGGCUGAGAGGGUGACCGGCCACACUGGGACUGAGACACGGCCCAGACUCCGUACGGGAGCA